AGUGAACGUUGGCGGCGUGGAUUAGGCAUGCAAGUCGAGCGAGAACCGUAGCAAUACGGGGACAGCGGCGAAAGGGACAGUAAUGUGUAGGUACCUACCCCGAGGUCUGGGAUAGCUGCGGGAAACUGCAGGUAAUACCGGAUCAUGUCUUCGGACCAAAGGUGUGAUUCCACCUUGGGAGGGGCCUGCAUCCUAUUAGCUAGUUGGCGGGGUAAUGGCCCACCAAGGCGACGAUGGGUAGCGGGUGUGAGCGCACGACCCGCGUCAUUGGGACUGAGACACUGCCCAGACACCUACGGGUGGCUGCAGUCGAGGAUCUUCGGCAAUGGGCGAAAGCCUGGCCGAGCGACGCCGCGUGCGGGAUGAAGGCCUUCGGGUUGUAAACCGCUGUCGUAGAGGAGGAAAUGCAGGUGGGUUCUCCCAUCUGUUUGACCUAUUCUAGGAGGAAGUACGGGCUAAGUUCGUGCCAGCCGCCGCCGUAA
RNAcentral lists this ribosomal RNA (482 nucleotides) under uncultured bacterium. RNAcentral describes it as "partial 16S ribosomal RNA". It matches the Rfam family "Bacterial small subunit ribosomal RNA", at positions 28 to 523 of the family's 1533-position model. The record is from RNAcentral.